This 486-nucleotide ribosomal RNA is filed under the name uncultured bacterium. Its description in RNAcentral is "partial 16S ribosomal RNA". It matches the Rfam family "Bacterial small subunit ribosomal RNA", at positions 30 to 507 of the family's 1533-position model. The record is from RNAcentral.
AUUGAACGUUGGCGGCAUGCCUUACACAUGCAAGUCGAACGGCAGCACGGGUGCUUGCACCUGGUGGCGAGUGGCGAACGGGUGAGUAAUACAUCGGAACAUGUCCUGUAGUGGGGGAUAGCCCGGCGAAAGCCGGAUUAAUACCGCAUACGAUCUACGGAUGAAAGCGGGGGACCUUCGGGCCUCGCGCUAUAGGGUUGGCCGAUGGCUGAUUAGCUAGUUGGUGGGGUAAAGGCCUACCAAGGCGACGAUCAGUAGCUGGUCUGAGAGGACGACCAGCCACACUGGGACUGAGACACGGCCCAGACUCCUACGGGAGGCAGCAGUGGGGAAUUUUGGACAAUGGGCGAAAGCCUGAUCCAGCAAUGCCGCGUGUGUGAAGAAGGCCUUCGGGUUGUAAAGCACUUUUGUCCGGAAAGAAAUCCUUGGCCCUAAUACGGUCGGGGGAUGACGGUACCGGAAGAAUAAGCACCGGCUAACUACGUG